UUUUUUUUUUUUUUUUUUUUUUGGCAGAAAGUUCCAGAAAUUUCUCUAUUCUCCCAAGAAUAGCUCCAGGCACUUUCCCAGUAUAAUAAAGAAGCAUUUUAUGUUAUGGGUGAUGGCCAGUUAACAUUCGUAUUUCUUCAGACGCAGUACAGCAUUCCUAUCAGCCAAGGGAAACACCUGCACAGCCCGAAUUACAACCAUGACCACUCAUCCCAUAAACAACUUACAGAAUCCAAAGGACAAAAACCACAGGUGCUGCAGAAAAACAGCUCCAUGUAAAUCUGCAAUAGGCAACUAUUGCUUCAAAGCAAACAAGAUUAUAAGGGUGUAAUUAGAACUAGGAAACCUGGCCACCAAUCCCAAGAACCUACCAUUAUUUUCAUAAUGUAUGGGCUUUGGACUAAACAUGACCACAGAUUAGAGCACUAAGGCAGAGUUCUUUGGAGAUAUUUGGUGGCUUACAAAUACCACAGAUUAUAUUUGUAAAAUAAUUAGCCAGACUUUCCAGCUUCUUUUUUCUUAGAAAUUUUAAAACAUAAAUUUGACCAAAGGGUAUAUACAGGCCUCAAGGCCUCCAAAAUACUACAUCAUUAAGCCUAAAUACACAUAUACACACAUGCCAGGAAUGUUUCAUUACAGGAAUCAGAGCAAAAAUAAUAACUAGAAACCAGUUAUUGUUUUUGAAAAAUGAUGUCUCCCAGAACACAACUUUUCAGAAGUCUUACUGAAUGAUGAUACAACGCAGUUGGUUAAUGGAGAACCAAUUACCCAGUGUCAUGUAUCAAAUGGAUGUUUUCUGUAUUAUCUGACUUUCCUUAGAAGAUCAGUGAUGCCCACAGAAAACUCACAUACACAAGGGGAAGAAAAUAAAUGCUCUCCUGCCACUGAGGAGGAUGGAAACAGGCCUUCUGAAGGACCCAGAUACUGUGAUAUAGAGAAUGAAGGAGAUGCGAGAGGACAUCACCAGAAACCACGUUCAGCCUGCGAGAGUCCAGGGAUGCGAUGCGGCUACUUCCUGGACUGCAAAGAAUGAGGAGUGAGUCAUACUUGUUAGAGGCAGUUUCACGGUUGGCAGAUUAAAAUGAAGCAGGUCUCUUAGGGGGCGCUGCCAACAAGGUGCAUCUCCAAAUAGUUUACAUAAAAUCUUUUAACUUUGGAGCCUUGGUUUAACAAAGCCUGUAUGGCAAAAAGAUACUGUCUCCUUCAAGUCAACUCAACUUUUGAAAAAAUGUUUUAAUGUUUGCUAUACUCACACCACGGUGUUAGGAAAUGCCCAGGAUUCAAAGAUGACCAAAAAAAAAAAAGUCUCCUGUCCUUAAAGCAGUUUUGCAAGAUAAGAGGAAGUUAGAUAAGGAGAUAAUCAGAGUGUCAGAAAGAUUGUGAUGACUACUGUAAUGAGAUGUAUACAUACUUGGGAAUGGUUUUUCAAACUGAUGACCCAAGCGUUAGACAGCCAACUACCUCAUCAAAACUUUAUGUCCAACAAGAUAUUGAGAACAACAACAAAAAAUCAGUCUUUUUAAAGGUAUGUAUCUUAAAUGUCUAUGAUCCAUGCCAGCUGUUAAGCAAGAAUUCUCCAUCAACUUCGCCUGGUGAAUUCUGCCAUUCACUGAGCAGUAGCAGAGUAGAUAUUAUUCUUAAUUCCAAAGAUAUAGCUUCUUGCUUAUUUACAAAGUCUAACUACUUAAAUGUUAUCAUCCUACUAUGAAACUUUAAUGAUUUAGAUUCAGAAUUCAUCAUUUUUCAUAUGUCUAUGAAAGUAGUGAGCCAUAAACCCAGUUUAGUGCCUAAAAGAAGCUGUGAUAUUACAAAUUUCUCUGACAAACAUUAUUUUUUAUGUUACUUAAUAAACCACUAAACCCAGUUUCCAUUUAAAAAUAUAAAUCAAACACAAAAUCUGGUGGUACAGAAUAAAGCAGGGAAUGGAGAAUGUGUUGUCAAGGACGAGGGACAUGAGCCACCAAUAAUUUACAGGUUUAUGGGUCUCUUGUUGUUCUUUUGUAGAAAACUGCAGCUCUUUGCUACCUAGACUAGUACAAUGAGUUGUGCAUAGUGGACGUGCUAAAACAAAAACAAAAUAAGUAGCCUGAGGUGACACCAUGCUUCCCGAUAGAUAUAAAAAUACUUAAUAGAUUUCAUCCAACUUAUAUUAUUGCAUACCAGCUUGAAAACAACUGCAGUACAAGAUGUAAGAAACUGAUAGCUAGCCAUUCUUCACAGGAAAUGAAAUGUGCAGCUAAGCAGUCCAAAUACUAAGGAAAAAGAAAGAAAAACUAAGUCAAACAAUACUCAGUUAUUACCACAGAUUUAAAAUAUAAAGCCCCAAGAAAGACACAGCUAACCUAAAGCAAUGAGGCCAACCGUUUGUUCCUUUAUUACAGAAGAAUAUGUCUUGUCUGAUCACGAAAGACAGAAAUCCGUUAUAAUGGGAAAGAACCAUCUCUCAUGUGAUCUUUAAUCCUCUUGUGAGAAUCAUCAAGAAUGAAACUUUAGGUGUAUUUCAUACUUAACAGAAAAGGAAAAACACACACAUGAAAAAACACAUAAAUAAGUGCACAACAGGAGGAAGUGUAUAUAAAAAACCUCUCCAUGUCAGAAUGAGUUAGAGGCAAGCCUGGAAUGAAUGCUCCAUAACUCAGGUUGGGAGAAACUAGACCUGUGAUUUUUUUUUUUUUUUAAGCUGGCCUCAGCUAAUCUAGGGUUUCUCCAUCCUGACACUAAAAUAUUUUGAUAUGAGCCAGUUAAUCCCUUGUUUUGAGAGGCUGUUAUAUGCACUUUGUAGUCUCUAUGGCUUCUACCAACUAGAGGCUAGGAGCACACUCACCCAUUUGUGACAAACAAAAAAACAUCUCCAGACAGUCAAAUGUCACCUGGGAGCCAAAACUGUCACCAUUGAGAACCCUCAUUCUAGCCCAAUGACAACAAGGUAAAACCCAAUAGCUUUCUCAAUGGCUUCACGGCCAUGGAUGCAAUUAGCCUAUCUCUGUCCAAGGUGCUCAAGUGAACCCACUAUGUUCUCUGCUCAAGAGGCAGUGUCUAGGCCAAGGCAAAGAGGGGAAAACAUCAAACCUCAUACCUUCCAAAAUGCUGCUGAAGACUGUCUUCUUCUGAGAGUGACAUUUUCUUUCUUUCUUUUUUUUUUUAAGGGUCACAGGUGUGGCAUGUGGAAGUUCCCAGACUAGGGGUUGAAUUGGAGCUACAUCUGCCAGCCCAUGCCACAGACACAGCAAGGCAAGAUAAGAUCCUAGCCAAGUCUGUGGCCUACACCACAGCUUAUGGCAAUACCAGAUCCUUAACCCACUGAGCGAGGCCGGGAAUCAAAGCCACAUCCUCAUGGAUCCUUGUCAGGUUUGUUACCACGGAGACAUGACAGGAACUCCUGAGAGUGACAUUUUCCAUUUGGACAUUGGGAUUUUAACAGAAGUACCUACAUAAAACAAAGUCUACUGAAUACACAUCUGGAUGACACAGAAUCUUUAGAAACCAACGGAAAGGAAAGAGAGGGAAAACAUUUAAUAGUCACCAAAAGCAAUCAAGAAAAUAAAAGAUCCAAGAAAUACUGGAAGAUUUACAAGAUGACUCAGAUAUUUUAAAGGAUAAAUUAUCAACUCAUUUGAUAAAUGUGCAUUGGACCCCUAUCAGGAUUCAAGGCAUGAGACACAAAGAUAAAGGAGAAUUGGGUCCUGCCAUUUUAGGGAGUUUAGGGACCCAUUAAGAUCUAAGCAUAUGAGUCCUUCUCAAACCAAGAAGUACGUUGAAGUCAUCUGGGAGAAUGUCUUCAAAUUACCAAUGGUCAGACUUACAUCUGGGCCAAUUAUACAAGCACCUGUACCCCCCAACAGUUUUUAAAAGACUUUGAGCUGGACCAUGGAGGUGGGUGGGGACUUGAACAUAGACAGGGGGUGGCCUGGGAUGGCAUUAUUAGCUGAAAUUACAAGAGAAAAAUCACCAGGAUCGAAGACCAAGGGCAUGUAACAGCAAAAAAUAAAAACAAGUGAUUCAAUUUCCUCUGUUCAGAGGUCUGAGAAGGGUAAUAAAACCUAGAAUAAGGUGGGUGUUAAACUGUGCAGAAAAUGGAGAACCUCGGAAUAUUUCUGAGAAAAGAAUAAAACUGUAAGUCAAAUAAUUAAUCUUUGAAAAACUCUUAAAAUAAAGGGUCUGGGGAAGAGACAAAGGCAAGUCAAGUUUCACGUCUAAAGCAAAAAGCCUAAAAUAAAGCACUAGCUCACUUGGUUAGCAUGGGAACUCUCCUGGCUGACUCCCUUUCAGGCUCAUCCAGGGUGUGUCAGAUUCCCUUAAGGGGCGGGGCUAUGCCUUGCAGUCAUCUUCUAAUUUGUUUUUCCUGGAUGCUCUCAUGGCUGCUCAUUCAGUUCUCAUCUGUACGCACACGGUUUGGAAAUUCUCCUCCUGAGCCCCACCUGGCACUCAGAGUGGCAGCACUAACUGCCUAUUAGCCUCCCUCCUUGGGCAUACCUCAAACUCACUAGGUCCAAAACUGGACUAAUGAUAUUCCCCAUGGAGCCUAGUGCUCUUUAUUUCCCUUUUCUCUGGAAAUGGAAAUGGAUAGGAUUACCCAGUCACAGGCCAGAUAUAUGCAAGUCAUUUUUGACACUCUUUAUCCCCCAACCCAGCCUACCAGAAGGUCCUGUGGCUAUGAGCUUGUAUGCAUCCCUCAGAGUCCUCCUGUGCUUGUCCCCUCUAUCAGCACCUCCUUAGCCCAACCCGCCAUCUUCCUUUGCUUGGCUGUUUCCAUAACACUCUUGACUUAGUGACUCAAAUUCACUAUUGCCCUCGCUAUGGCCAACUCCAAGUCACUAGCUCAAAUGCCAAAACUAACCACAUCACCACUGCACGUAAAAUCAUUCGGUGGCUUCCAUUCAUCUUAUGAUAAGUACGAAAUGCCUCAGCAGGGCCUGGCUAUCCUCUGAAGACAGCGAAGACAGCCACGAAUGACUUCUUUCAGCCCUGCACCUUUGCCCUGCUUGCUCCACCAAGGGGCCACUGUACACAGUUCCAUCAGUCAAGAGCUUGUUUUCCCUAUGUGGACAAUUAAACUCUAAAC
RNAcentral lists this long non-coding RNA (5062 nucleotides) under Sus scrofa (pig). RNAcentral's name for it is "lncRNA (ENSSSCG00060005945.1)". Lineage: Eukaryota; Metazoa; Chordata; Mammalia; Artiodactyla; Suidae. The record is from RNAcentral.